AUUGAACGCUGGCGGCAUGCUUUACACAUGCAAGUCGAACGGUAACAGGCCUUCGGGUGCUGACGAGUGGCAAACGGGUGAGUAAUGCAUCGGAACGUACCCAGAGGUGGGGGAUAACGCAGCGAAAGCUGUGCUAAUACCGCAUGUGAUCUGAGGAUGAAAGCGGGGGACCGAGCAGCAAUGUUUGGCCUCGCGCCUUUGGAGCGGCCGAUGUCGGAUUAGCUAGUUGGUGGGGUAAAGGCCUACCAAGGCGACGAUCCGUAGCUGGUCUGAGAGGACGACCAGCCACACUGGGACUGAGACACGGCCCAGACUCCGACGGGAGGCAGCAGUGGGGAAUUUUGGACAAUGGGCGCAAGCCUGAUCCAGCAAUGCCGCGUGCGGGAAGAAGGCCUUCGGGUUGUAAACCGCUUUUGGCAGGAACGAAACGGUGUCCGCUAAUACCGGGCGCUAAUGACGGUACCUGCAGAAUAAGCACCGGCUAACUACGUG
RNAcentral lists this ribosomal RNA (492 nucleotides) under uncultured bacterium. RNAcentral describes it as "partial 16S ribosomal RNA". It matches the Rfam family "Bacterial small subunit ribosomal RNA", at positions 29 to 507 of the family's 1533-position model. The record is from RNAcentral.